CUGGAUUCUUGCAUUGCUAAUAAUAGUUAAGUCAUUUAUAAUAUCAUUAUAGUUUAUAGAUUUAACAGUAUACAACAUUCUCCUGGUUCUGCUGACUUCACUUUGCAUCACUUCAUAUAAGUCUUUCUGGGAUUUUUUGUUAUCAUCUUGUUUUCCAUUCCUAAUGGCACAAUAAUAUUCCAUUACAAUCAUUUAUAUGCAACUUGUCCAUCUGUUCUCCAACUAUUGGCCAUCUCUUCAGUUUCCAAUCCUUAGCCACCACAAAAAGAGCUAUUACAAUUAUUUUAAUAAGUAGUUCCCACCCCCCAUCUUUGAUCUCUUUGGGAUAUAGACCUAGUAGUGGUAAUUCAAGGUCAAAGGGUACACACAGUUUUAAUGGUCCUUUUGGCAUGAUUCCAAAUUAAUCUCCAGAAUGAUUAGAGAAGGAAAGGUUUCUAAGUAUGGAUGAUGAUCUGUACAGAAGAAGAGAUGGGAAAUGGGAAGCCAUAUAUGAAGAUCAGCAAGAUGAAUUUCUUUGGAAUAUAGAGUGUCCAACAUGGAAUAAUGGGUAAUUAGUCUAGAAUGUUAGACAUGUGUCUGAUUCUAAAGGGCUUUCACUGCCAAACAGAAGAGAUUGGAUUUUUCCUUAGAGGCAAGAAAAAAACUGAUGACUCUUAAGUAAGUGUAUAGAUGGUCAGAGCUGCACUUUAGAACAAUUGCUUUGAACACUCAUGGCAGCUUUGUGAGGAUGGAUUGAUAAGGAGUGAGUCUUGAGCCAAAGAAGUCACUGAGUGCUUCUCAAGAGAUGACAAAUCAGGCUCUUUAUUUUGAGGCAAGGGAUGGAUACCACUGAUUUUUAAAUGCUUCCAGAUGUGACUGUUGUCAUUGCUACUUCCUACAGUCUAUAAUUAAGGGAAUAAGAAUAAAAAUUGAAGAUCUGGAUCAAAAACAAGCACCUGGGAAUAAGAAACUCAGCCUACAUUCUGCCUAAAUCUUCCCAAGACUUUGUGGAGCCAAUGAAUAUUGACUCUUAACACUCACCUUGACCAUUCCUAGUCAGAUUGACAGAAGUUUGGGGUGCCUAUCCCACACUGACUGCCAUCAGGGUGGGAUGGAAUGGUGUCCUGCUACCUAUUUUCUGUAUUGGUCGAAGGCAAAAUAAGUAAAUAAAUAUUUAUCUCUCUGA
Molecule: long non-coding RNA, 1165 nt
Organism: Monodelphis domestica (gray short-tailed opossum)
Lineage: Eukaryota; Metazoa; Chordata; Mammalia; Didelphimorphia; Didelphidae
Source: RefSeq, a predicted model, not a curated record